CGGCGAGUGAAGCGGCAGAGCUCAAUUUGAAAUCCGGCCCCCUGGGGGCCUGAGUUGUAAUUUGCAGAGGAUGCUUCGGGCGCGACCGCGGUCCAAGUCCCCUGGAACGGGGCGUCGUAGAGGGUGAGAAUCCCGUCUCCGGCCGGCCGGUCUCGCCCGUGUGAAGCUCCUUCGACGAGUCGAGUUGUUUGGGAAUGCAGCUCCAAAUGGGUGGUAAAUUUCAUCUAAAGCUAAAUACUGGUCGGAGACCGAUAGCGCACAAGUAGAGUGAUCGAAAGAUGAAAAGCACUUUGAAAAGAGAGUUAAACAGCAUGUGAAAUUGUUGAAAGGGAAGCGCUUGCGACCAGAGUCGGCCGUGGGGGUUCAGCGGGCAUUCGUUGCCCGUGCAAUCCCCCGCGGCCGGGCCAGCGUCGGUUUCGACGGCCGGUCAAAGGCCCCCGGAAUGUGUCGCCUCUCGGGGCGUCUUAUAGCCGGGGGUGCAAUGCGGCCAGUCGGGACCGAGGAACGCGCUCCGGCACGGACGCUGGCUUAAUGGUCGUCAGCGACCCGUCUUGAAACACGGACCAAAGGAGUCUAACAUCCACGCGAGUGUUCGGGUGUCAAAACCCGUCCGCGCAGUGAAAGCGAACGGAGGUGGGAACCCCUGAGGUGCCACCAUCGACCGAUCUGAAGUCUUCGGAUGGAUUGAGUAGGAGCGUGGCUGUUGGACCG
This 711-nucleotide ribosomal RNA is filed under the name Histoplasma capsulatum. RNAcentral's name for it is "eukaryotic LSU rRNA". It matches the Rfam family "Eukaryotic large subunit ribosomal RNA", at positions 87 to 818 of the family's 3401-position model. The record is from RNAcentral. Lineage: Eukaryota; Fungi; Ascomycota; Eurotiomycetes; Onygenales; Ajellomycetaceae.